RNAcentral lists this ribosomal RNA (170 nucleotides) under Alpheus hebes. RNAcentral's name for it is "partial 18S ribosomal RNA". It matches the Rfam family "Eukaryotic small subunit ribosomal RNA", at positions 1686 to 1829 of the family's 1831-position model. The record is from RNAcentral. Lineage: Eukaryota; Metazoa; Arthropoda; Malacostraca; Decapoda; Alpheidae.
CGAUGAUGUUUAGUGAGGCUUCUUCCUGGCGGUCCUGGACUGGGCUCUCCCGGGGCCUCCGUGCCCUGGGGGACUCGCCAUCACCAGCCGGAAAGAUGUCCAAACUUGAUCAUUUAGAGGAAGUAAAAGUCGUAACAAGGUUUCCGUAGGUGAACCUGCGGAAGGAUCAU